GAUGAACGCUGGCGGCGUGCCUAAUACAUGCAAGUCGAGCGAACGGACGAGAAGCUUGCUUCUCUGAUGUUAGCGGCGGACGGGUGAGUAACACGUGGAUAACCUACCUAUAAGACUGGGAUAACUUCGGGAAACCGGAGCUAAUACCGGAUAAUAUUUUGAACCGCAUGGUUCAAAAGUGAAAGACGGUCUUGCUGUCACUUAUAGAUGGAUCCGCGCUGCAUUAGCUAGUUGGUAAGGUAACGGCUUACCAAGGCAACGAUGCAUAGCCGACCUGAGAGGGUGAUCGGACACACUGGAACUGAGACACGGUCCAGACUCCUACGGGAGGCAGCAGUAGGGAAUCUUCCGGAAUGGGCGAAAGCCUGACGGAGCAACGCCGCGGGAGUGAUGAAGGUCUUCGGAUCGUAAAACUCUGUUAUUAGGGAAGAACAUAUGUGUAAGUAACUGUGCACAUCUUGACGGUACCUAAUCAGAAAGCCACGGCUAACUACGU
RNAcentral lists this ribosomal RNA (496 nucleotides) under uncultured bacterium. RNAcentral's name for it is "partial 16S ribosomal RNA". It matches the Rfam family "Bacterial small subunit ribosomal RNA", at positions 28 to 506 of the family's 1533-position model. The record is from RNAcentral.